AUGAACGCUGGCGGCGUGCCUAAUCCAUGCAAGUCGAGCGAACAGACGAGGAGCUUGCUCCUCUGACGUUAGCGGCGGACGGGUGAGUAACACGUGGAUAACCUACCUAUAAGGCUGGGAUAACUUCGGGAAACCGGAGCUAAUACCGGAUAAUAUAUUGAACCGCAUGGUUCAAUAGUGAAAGACGGUUUUGCUGUCACUUAUAGAUGGAUCCGCGCCGCAUUAGCUAGUUGGUAAGGUAACGGCUUACCAAGGCAACGAUGCGUAGCCGACCUGAGAGGGUGAUCGGCCACACUGGAACUUAGACACGGUCCAGACUCCUACGGGAGGCAGCAGUAGGGAAUCUUCCGCAAUGGGCGAGAGCUUGACGGAGCAACGCCGCGUGAGUGAUGAAGGUCUUCGGAUCGUAAAACUCUGUUAUUAGGGAAGAACAAAUGUGUAAGUAACUAUGCACGUCUUGACGGUACCUAAUCAGAAAGCCACGGCUAACUACGUG
RNAcentral lists this ribosomal RNA (496 nucleotides) under uncultured bacterium. Its description in RNAcentral is "partial 16S ribosomal RNA". It matches the Rfam family "Bacterial small subunit ribosomal RNA", at positions 29 to 507 of the family's 1533-position model. The record is from RNAcentral.